Molecule: long non-coding RNA, 3674 nt
Organism: Ornithodoros turicata
Lineage: Eukaryota; Metazoa; Arthropoda; Arachnida; Ixodida; Argasidae
Exons: 3
Source: RefSeq, a predicted model, not a curated record
CUUUAUGAAGCCUCUACAGUCCGUGAGAUCUGCGUUUAUUUGUAGAGCUGAUUACGAAAUCAGCGAUGUUGAUGUCACUAGCAUUUUGUACUAUGCUCGAUUAAGUGUCAUCUUCAGUGUCCUCUUGUGGCUCGUUAUCUUAUCUCAGCCCCUUAACUUUGAUGAGGAUAAUCCCUUAUUUGUUAUAGUCUCUAUGGUAAAUGAUUACAUAUGACAGGUGUUGCUUUGACAACGGGGUAUUCAUCCCAUUUGCCUUCUUAUCAUUUCUUAUGGGGACACUUGAAGUGUCGUGCAUCAUGACAAUAAGCUUCGUAUAUUACGUGACUUUGAACGCAGCAUCAGUGCAGAAAUCCUGACUGGUGAUCAGGGCAUGGCGUGAAUGUUUAAGUGUAUGGGAAUGUACAUGUGGAAAAUUACCAGAGAGCCAAAACUUUCUCAGUGUGAGCCAUCACCAAUAAGAACAAAGGGCCAGAGAUAACGUUCCACCACUCAAAGACAAUAUCUCUGCUGGGACACACCACACUUCAUACCACGUUACUACUGCUAAGUGGACCACAAUAUGAAAGGUUCUGAAGCGGAAACACUCGCUGAUGCUCAUCAAAACAGACUACGCAACAAAUUUGCUGCGGUUGCAAGUAUUCGUUGAAGUUGCAAGCUUGGAUGUUAAGCUUGCAAGCUUAUUAAUUAAUCUGUGCCGAUUUUCUCCCUUUUUCUUCGGUACGUUUCGAUGGCUGCACAACUGCUGCCCACCGCAGCUGGUCAUCGUUUGGGAAUUUUCCAGCACCCACAAAAAAAUCUUACACACCCAAAAAGGCAAAAAGAGCGAGAAGAGCAGCAAAAGGAAAAUCCCAGGAAAAUAUCUGGUCAUAUCGUAUUGACAACGCAGUCACUGCAAAUUGCGCAACACCUAGAGAAUGCCCCGUUCGAUUUUCCCAGAAAAAAAAUAUCAUGCACAGCUGCUCCUAAUUGCGCUCUAGUAUUCAAGGCCACAACAUUUCAAGGUUGACUCAGUUACGUCUUUCCUGGUUAUCCGGCAAUUGCAUUGCAGAAGACACGUCUGCAUUGGUUUUUCGACAAGUUUACCACGCAUACCUUUAUGCGCAAUCACUAUACAGCGGGUCACGUCUUGGGGUACUGCUUACCAAAACUUUCCUGUAUCAAUGAGUGACGAAAUGUAUACUGUAAAUGACGCAACACGGAUAAUACUGCACCAUCAGCAGUGAGUGUCUCCCGCACUCCUUACCCAGCCUGAAGGUUGUGCAAAUAGAGGCCAAAGUAAAAACAGAAGCGAAUAUGAGCUUAAAGUGUCAUUGACAUUUGAGAUGCCAAGUACGAGUUUUUUCGGCUCCUCGCGGUCAAGGCUCUCGACCGGUAAACAAGGGACACCACAUAAUUAGGCCGCGAUUCACGCAAUAAGUGACACUCACCUUUACAUGAAAUGAAGCCUACAAAUGAAACAGAAAGUGCGAUGAAAUAUGAGCAAACCCGUCAGAACCUUUUCCGCCUCCAAGUGAAUGAGCAGCAGCAGACAACACGCUGAGCAACAAGGUUCCCCUGGCGGAGGAAUUAAGAGAUGCUCACAUGACUUUUAUUCAUUCAGCUGUCAUCGUGUUUGGUUGGCCGGGUGCGGUAUUGUGUUGGGUUGUUUAUUUCGUGGCGCAUACAUCGUACAAAUCGCAUGCGACGUUGGUUCAUCGCGCGAGCGGUGCGUCAACAUUGUGCAAGUGAUAGUUCAUGUUGCCCCCUCGAAGUUGUGCAGCAGGAACCCCAGACAGCUUAGCACCGCUUUGAACAAUGGGAACUUGCUUGUAACAAAGGAACAGAAGGUUUCCAAGCUGUUUCGUUUCCUUCUCUCUCCGAAGAUUGACCACCAGGAGUCAAGGUCAGCGAAAACGAAACGUGAAGUGCAGUUCAUUCCAGUAAUCUCCCAGGAUGCAAUGCAUACGCAAGGAGCACUGGGAUUUUUCUGAACUCGUCCACUGACAUGACAUGCAGAUGAGGUUUUGCAAGUUAUGGGACUGUCAACUAGAAACCGAAAGCACACAGAACAAAGUAUGUUUCAAAACAGUCAACAAUUAGGCAAUUUGUCGAACACAAUACACCAUAUAGGGACUGUGCGACAAACUGGUGGCGCCGCGAUGCGGCCUCCGGAGAAAGUACCUUGCGUGAUAGCCGCAGCCGCCGCGUAGCCAGCUUUGUUUGCAUGUGAAGUGCGGGCAUCUUUUUUUGCCACAGCAUCGCUAACUGUGCCAGUACCUAAAAGAACUCUUCAUUAGGGACCAGAUGCUUCAUUUCUUGUGAUUUCUAUGCUUCCAAUACCACCGAGGUCACUAGACUCGCAGCGAAUAGCGUUUGUGACGCGCGUUCGGUCAUUGCAUGAGGUGUGCACAACAUGAGCGAAUGUAUUCUAUUUCUUUUGUUCUAGUUUCAAUGAAACUGAAUGAGGACCUGCAAAAUGAUCAAUGAUCUACAGUUGCCACUUUCGUGACGGUGGAACGCCGCUGGAUACUGUAUCACCGUCAAAUACACCAACCAAACGGCAACCUAUUUCGAGAUAAUGAUUGAGGUGUUUCAUCGCCAGUACCCAGAGCCGAUAUUGCUCCCGGUAUGACGAGUCUCACAGUGAGAACAGAAGUUCUACGUUGUCCAAAAGGUUUAGUAUUUACGCACCGACCAUUUCACAGCUGUCGUGGCGCAAGCCUACGGCGGUAGCCGAGGUAAAAACUCAUAUAUACUUUCUUCUUGGAGGAUCUCUUUAGCGUUAUUGUAUCUGAAGAUACUGGAAAAACUGCAGUACAAGUUCAGGCAAUAAGUUGUGACCCCACGUGUUUAUUUGUAUGGAUAAAACGGACGCACGAUGUAAAUUUCAGUGACGAAGCUAUGUGUGUGCAAAGACGACGAAAUGAAUACAAGACUCAGUCAAAACCAUGAUAUUGCAAAUGGCUGGAGUCAGAGGAAUACACGUAUAUAGCCUUCGCUAGCAAGCCAGGAUUUUGUGAGGGGUCAAAUAACCAUCCCCUCGCUCGACGUAUCACUUACAGGUGUUUUGACCGGACAGACGCGAGUGGCCGUUCUCCUUCCGUACUGUUAGAUGCAUUAUAAAUACGGUGGUUGCUUCUGUGCAGUUUGUCUCCAUUCUCUUCGUUCGCGCCCCAGAAAGGUUCCACAUUAUUUGCACUUCGAAAAUUAGCUCUUCUAAUUACGGCGGUCGCCACGCAAGCUGCGGUUCCACUUGAGAAUGCAUAGAACGGGCGGCGUGGUAUCACGUCGGAUACGUCCAAGACCGCCACUGGCGGCGCUGUCGCGACGGAGCAGCGCGCCCCCUUUAGGUGUCGCACGGUCCCUAUAGGCCAUGCACCUGCUUCUGAGCAAAUUAAUUUUAUGUUUGAUUUAGAGGAAUCUGCAAUGCUUUCAAUAAGCCCUUACCAGAAACCUAGUGUACACAUGCUCAAUUCUAGAGUUCCUUUAGCCAGGCAUUGAUGCCAGGCCCUACUAAAUCUGGCUUCGAGGAAAUAUAUCCGUAUUUCUAGAAGCUUUAUCAGUAUAAUCCAAAGCCAUUACAUUUCCCUGGCUCUUGCAUUUGCUUACAGGAAGCAAAGGAGCCAAGGGAAACAGUCCUACUCAAAAAUAUCACUCCAACAUGAUUCAAUACAAAUAAAAAACACUGGUCUCCU